This is a small nuclear RNA of Meriones unguiculatus (Mongolian gerbil), 103 nucleotides long. The record is from Ensembl. NCBI's taxonomy places the organism in Eukaryota, Metazoa, Chordata, Mammalia, Rodentia, Muridae.
UUGCUUUGGCAGCACAUAUACUAAAAUUAGAAUUAUACAGAGAGGAUUUGCAUGGCCCCUUUGCAAGAAUGACAGGCAAAUUUGUGAAGCAUUCCAUAUUUUU